UAUGGAAAAAGCAUAUUCUUGGGCGC
This 26-nucleotide microRNA is filed under the name Rhipicephalus microplus (southern cattle tick). RNAcentral's name for it is "rmi-miR-5321". Lineage: Eukaryota; Metazoa; Arthropoda; Arachnida; Ixodida; Ixodidae. The record is from miRBase by way of RNAcentral.